AUUCAAAGAAUACAAUACGGAAAUUUUCUAGAUAAAAAUCCAUAACCUCAGUCAGAGUUCUUUUUAAUUCACCAAGCUCAAGAUUCUUGGAAACAGAAGAAAGCAAGGCCAGCCAUGGGCUGCAGGUGCCAGCUCAGCUACUGAUAGCCAGGGUCGGGGGUGGCAAGAUGAGCCCACCGGCUCAGCAGAAAGGAGCCAGAGUGAGCUCUGAGGACAGAAGCUUAUGUCCCUUUGUUAUAUCCAUCAGGGUAACCACUUCAAACCUGUCCAUGGAGCAGAUAAUCAAUCAAUACAAAUUAAUGAAUAAUGUGCUUACUAAAGAGAAAAGGACAAGAAGCAGAGGUUAAUUUCAAAGGUCACCCGAUUUCAGAUUCCUAAUGAGAAUUCACUGAAUCUUUAUCUUUUGGGUUUCACCUUUUCCAAGUACAUGAUUGAGAUGCCAAGUACAAGCUGAACAGUCUGCUAACAAUCUGAAAAGAAAAUAUAUUACAGUGAUUGUACAGGGAAACUGGAAGCAAUUUUCUCCCGGGUUGGAGGUUUAAACAAACAGGAAGCCCUGUUUAGGAUUUGUCUUCAUCAUCUUUCAUCACAAGUCAGCCUGACUUCCUGGUGAAAAAAUGUGGAACUGCUUUCAUAUACUCAACCAAAUGGGACAGAAAUGCCAACCUGACAAUCUCCAACUUUAAGUUCAAAGUUACUAUUUCUGAACACCCCAUCUCCAUCAGACCACAACUCUCUCAGUGAAAUUUUGCCUUUUAGUCUCUGUGAGCAGUGGGCAGAAAAAUGAGUCUUUGUUGCUAUCUAACCUCAUAGUUAAAGGAUCUCAUUUUAUUUCUACCACUGAACAUGGAGAGGGUAUGAAAAACAAACUGUAUAGGAGAGAAUAAUAAUUAAUAAUCAUGAGCCCCUAACAGUGUUUCUUCUCAGCAUUACAAGGUAGUUUUCUGUAACUAUUUGAAAAAGCAGUAUUUAUGAAAUGAAACUUUGAUUUUUUACCAAAAUCUCAAAGUCAUUUCAGGAUGGAAAGUGCAUGACACCUCACAGUUUGACUCUAAUGAGUAUAUCUAAAAUACACUUUUUGAAAUAUGCAAUUCCUUAAACUUCAAAUUUCAUGAAACUAUUUAGGUUAAACUAUCAUUACUAAAAUAACAAAUACUUCAGUUUUCAAGAGAAAGUAAAACUUGAGGACUUUUAAUUCAAAUAAAUAAUUUUCUACAAAAACCCAAAAUGAACUGAUAAUUCUCCGACAUGAAGAAGCAAAUGCCAAAAUCUUCAUCUGACAUUCCAGAUGAUACAAACUACAAAAUGACUAGUAUUUUAUCUAAUUAAAAAGGAAAAAUACAAAGUUGAGACUCUUAUGACUCUAAAACUAUAAUAAAUUAUCAAUUAACACAGAAUAGUAGAUAUACUUUUAUUUCACUUGAUGAGUUUGCAAGACCUAUUCUCAAAUAUUUCUCAUAUUUUGAAAUAUGACUUAUUUCAAGGUUCUUCUUAUAGUAUUCUUAAAAACCUUAGAUUAAUAAAAGCAAGGAAGAGAGAGAAACCAAGAACAGAUUGACCAAAUAUGAUCUGUACCAUACUAAUAACAAUAAACAUCUGUGAUUUAAAUAUAUCCUGACUCAAAUUCUAGAAGUAAUUGAUUAACGCUGAAGCCCAGAAGAAGACAAGGCAGGCAGCUAACUACCACAUCACAAACAUUCCGGAUGUUUCUGAACUCACAGUUCUCUCCCCAUAUAUCAGCCUAUGACAACCACCCUUCAGUCUUUUGUUCUGCCUUUCAAAAUUGCAUAUUUGAUAUUUGGUUAAAAAAAAAAGAAGCAGAGUAGAAAGAGGAAAAUAAACUUGAACAAAGACAUAUUGUUUGUUUUCUGUCCAAGAAAAUGAAAUGUGCAUUUGUUGAGAACCAUAUGAAUGAGUUUCCUUAGAAUGAUGCAAACCCUGUGAAAAAAAAAAAUCACAAGAGUCAUCACCAUUGGUGGUGGGAUGCUGAGCUUCCCACAGGGAGCAGCUCAGGUAAUUGCUUGUUUGUUUUUGUUCUGAGCGGCAUUCUAUUAUGUGCCUAUGGGUUCCUUCUAUGAGAAAAUUUCCUGCAUGGCCCAUUUUGUUUCAGCAUUUCAUAGGCAUUUAUCUCAUGUAUUUAGAAAGUCCGUCAUUUUAAUAAGUGUUGUGUAGAAGAGAUGACUAAAUGGGAAAUACAAGUUGUUGGCAAACAAGCUGUAUUACAACAUAAGAAAAUAUCUACAAAUAAUGUAAAGCUAUGAACUUCACAUUAAAAAAUACAGUUACUUCUGGAAUAAGACCACAAAUCAGAGAACGAUUGGAUUAUCUGGCUGGUUAAGUUGUCAGGAAGGAAUUCCAAUGUUGAGGCCACUAUUAGACAAGCCCUUUGAAAGGAAGUAAAGAUUUCCACAUCACUACCCCCAUCCCCAUGAAUCCCGGUGAGGUUAGUUUAAGAGUUCUACAAAUACUUCUGGCUCACAUACACUGCACCACACGCCAUGCUCCCUGGUGGGGAUACAGACAUGAAUAUUAUCUGCUGUCUGCUGUCACAGAAUUUAGUCCAGGCAGAAAAAAAGACCCAUAAACAGAUCAUUCCAAAUUAAGAAAGGACAUAAUGACAGUUAUUUCCUGCAGACAGUGGCGUCCAGGGAAAAGGAGGGCACUUGGUCCAGUAAGAAGGGAAAGGGUGUCCUGGAAAGCUUCCCUGAGGACACAAACUUGGGCUGAACUUUGAAAGAUGGGGUGGAGAUGUGCAGGCAGCGAGGUGAAGAUGGGCAGAGGGAACUUCUAAGUUAGGAAAGAGUAUGAGCAAAGACAUGUAGGUUCAAAGCAGGGUGGGAAGUGCCAGCAACUGCAAGCCAUUUAGUAUUACUGGGGUACACAUUUAAAAUAUACCAGGGCACAAACUUAAAAAUUUAAGGCCAGAGAGACUACAAGGGCCCAGGUCUCAGAAAACACGUCUACCAUGUUGAGGGGCUUGGAUGGUGUUCAAUGAGUACUGGGAGCACCUGGAAAACAAAACCCCUCCAAGUCCCUUCGCUGUCCCUCCUUUGUCACCAGCACUCAGGACAGUCAUAAGUGAGCACCUCAGAAAGCAGUGGGGUGUUCCAGUCGGGGUGGAGAAGAGAGGCACCAGAUUUUUCUUUCCCUUCUGGUUGCCAUCUCUGAAUUAAUGUUACCUCUGCUCUCUUUGCAACCUCACUGAAUGGAACAUAGGGUAUUCAGGACACAGAACAGAAGGCUAAUGAGAAUCACGAACAAGCAAUAUUAAAAGAAAUGUUCAUUCUAAUACAAGUCAAAGGGAAAAUAUAUCGAUAGCUAGAAACCAGAGAAAAAAAGACUAAGCAGGAGUAAAGGAGCAGGCAUGUAUAGAGGGACACAGAAAAAUAUGCAAAGAAUGAGAUGGUGUAAGUCCAGGAUCACAAAGGAGGACACGUGCAUCACUGUGAGAGAGCACACCUAGGUUGGUUUCACAUGCAAAAUAUUGUUUUGAUGCUUACAUAAGUGAUUUCCACACAUAUUGUAGGAGGUGCAGUUACAGGGAGACCUAUUCUAAAACCUUGCAUGGCAACUAGUCCCACUGUUUUAAAAGCUAUACUCUAUACCCACAUAUAGAAACUAAAUUAACCAGGAGAGGAAAACCAAAUGUAUUUGGAAAAGCUGAGUGAGGGUGCUGAGCUGAGAAAAAGGAAAACAUAAGAAGGCACACUUAACAAAAGAGAAGAAACACAAACCCCAGCUGUGAUCGUCAGCGAUCUUCAGUGAAGGCUCUGUAUGUGCUGCUCUGGGUAGCAUGGUAAGGACCUUAAUCACAUCUCAUCUAUCCCCAAACAGUCCUCUUAUUAUUUUGCCAACUUUACAAGUGAGAAAACUGAGGCCUAGAGAGGCUGAGCAGCAGAGUUGCUACACUGAACCCAUGCAGGUAAUAAAUGGCAGAAUUGGAACUGGAAUCCAGGGAGCCAGAAUCUAGGCCCCCUGAGUGGGAAGAGUUUGCUCUACUAAAGAGAACAAUUCCAGGUUGAAACCAUGCAUACAAAGAAACAAUCCAACCACCAAAAAAGAAUCUAAGGAAAGCUUCCCUCACAAAUGUCAUGAAAAAAGAAAAAAAUAAAAAACUAGUUGUAACACUCUUCAGAAUGUCUGUUAAAAAAUACUGACAUUAGUGCUGUUUUCCACCAUGCUCCAAGUGUAGUACCAUGAGUUAUGAGGCAUAAAUAGCCUGUUACUAAUAACAAAGCAUCUUGGUUUAUAAAUGAAAAUUUCAUAGGGAAAAACAAUUUUGAACAUCUAGAAAGAAGCCAUAAACAAUGUACCUUACUUUACAUAUAUACACAUAUCCUCCUAUCCAAAAAAAUGAAUGACAUGUAUAUAAGACUGAACUACAAAAGAAAGGAAUUUGCCUAUAGUUAUGACAAAGCAAGUGGAAAAAUCACUUUGGAAAGGACCUCUUGUCAGCAAACAAAUAUCUUAUUAGCAGUACCUUUUAAUUAGCUAAAUGAAGAGAGCAACCAAUUACUCUGACCAUAAGUUUAUUUAUUUAACAUAUUUUAUUCAGAGCUAAUAAGCUCUACAGCUUCAUGGUGAAUUUUUAUUCAUUUUGGGGCACUUAUUCUGGCAUUAGACAUGAUUUCUCUGUAAAGAUAUACUGUCCUGAAUAUCGUUAUAUUACACAAAUACAGUUUGAUUAAAUCAUGGCUAAUAUUGGCUUGAAAAAGACCAGUCAUUAUUUUUCCACCACUAAUGUCUAU
This is a long non-coding RNA of Manis pentadactyla (Chinese pangolin), 4748 nucleotides long. RefSeq lists it as uncharacterized. NCBI's taxonomy places the organism in Eukaryota, Metazoa, Chordata, Mammalia, Pholidota, Manidae. The record is from RefSeq and is a predicted model, not a curated record. The transcript is spliced from 3 exons.